AAGUUUUAACAGCUGCGGUAUUUUAACUGUACUAAGGUAGCAUAAUAAUUUGCCUUAUAAUUUGAGGCUAGAAUGAAUGGUUUGACGAAGGUUAAUCUGUCUCUAUUUUACUUUUUAGAAAUUAAUUUUCAUAGUGAAAAGGCUUGAAUUUUUUAAAGGGACGAGAAGACCCUAUUGAGCUUGUAAUUUUAUUAUUAUUAGUAUUAUUUAUUCUUAUUGGUAGUAUAUAAAUUUUAAUUGGGGUGAUUAAGGAAUAAGGUUUGUAGUUUUAGUAACUUCCUUAUUAAUAAUGAUUGUUAAAUAAAGUAACCAAUAUUAUUGCUUAUACUAUAGUUACCAUAGGGAUAACAGCGUAAUUUAUUUAGAGAGUUC
This 372-nucleotide ribosomal RNA is filed under the name Doryteuthis opalescens. RNAcentral's name for it is "partial 16S ribosomal RNA". The record is from RNAcentral. Lineage: Eukaryota; Metazoa; Mollusca; Cephalopoda; Myopsida; Loliginidae.